GACGAACGCUGGCGGCGUGCUUAACGCAUGCAAGUCGAACGGAAAGGCCCUGCUUUUGUGGGGUGCUCGAGUGGCGAACGGGUGAGUAACACGUGAGUAACCUGCCCUUGACUUUGGGAUAACUUCAGGAAACUGGGGCUAAUACCGGAUAGGAGCUCCUGCUGCAUGGUGGGGGUUGGAAAGUUUCGGCGGUUGGGGAUGGACUCGCGGCUUAUCAGCUUGUUGGUGGGGUAGUGGCUUACCAAGGCUUUGACGGGUAGCCGGCCUGAGAGGGUGACCGGCCACAUUGGGACUGAGAUACGGCCCAGACUCCUACGGGAGGCAGCAGUGGGGAAUAUUGCACAAUGGGCGGAAGCCUGAUGCAGCAACGCCGCGUGCAGGAUGACGGCCUUCGGGUUGUAAACCGCUUUCGCCUGUGACGAAGCGUGAGUGACGGUAAUGGGUAAAGAAGCACCGGCUAACUACGCG
Molecule: ribosomal RNA, 468 nt
Filed under: uncultured bacterium
Lineage: Bacteria
Description: partial 16S ribosomal RNA
Rfam family: Bacterial small subunit ribosomal RNA
Source: RNAcentral